CCCAGGAAACAGUCACAAAAAGAAAAGAAAGAAAGAAGAGGAAGAGAAAGGAGAAGAAAACAAAUCAGGCACUACAACCAUACCAUAAAGCAAUCUGUGUCCAGGACAGGAAGCAUCCAAGUGAAAAUCCUUCAUUGGCUUCAGAUGGAUGGUGGCCCAUAUUUUACAGACGGAUGCUUUAAUGCUGUGAGCCUGUGCAGUGUCAUUUGGAAUAUUUUGUUACAUCUAGAAGUAGAAUUUAGCACCUUGAUGAUAUUAAAGUUCCCAGUCUCUUCAAGACCUAAGAUGCUAUUCGUCUGACAUGAGAACUUACUCCAAUAACAGUAAAAUCCACCAGCAAGACUAACUGAAUAAAUCAGGAAAGGCUUGCCAGACAACGUACCCUAAAUUCUAGAUACCAGAGUGUUAGACAUGCAAAGGAGGCAGAAUCACAGACCAUGAAUAGGCACUGUCACCCAAUAGCAUAGACUUGAAUCCUGUCUUUAACAUUAUAUGGCUAUGUGACCUAAGGCAAGUUCAAAUCUCUCUCUGAUUCAAUUUUCUGAGCUAUAAAAUAGAAAUACAACAACAAGAAGACACCUACUUGUAUUUGUUGUGAGCAUUAAAAGAGUUAAUACCCAUUAAGUGUUUGGAACAAUAUCUGGCACAGAAUAAAUGUUCAAAUAGAGUGAACUACAAUGAUUUAAAUGUUGCACUUUGAGCAAUGAAUUUGGAAAGGGACCUCAGUUUUUAUUAUCAAAAAGCAAAUAGGUUUUAAUUUCUAGAUGGAAUUCAAAGGCUGCUUAAAUAAAACCAGUAGAACAGUGUAAUGUAAAUAGUUAGAGCCAAAGUGAUGAAAUUUGAGAAACUGCAGCACAUCCUGGCUCUGCUCUCAAAAGUUGAGGAACUUUGAAUUAAAAACUCAGGUAUUCUAAGUUUUAGUUUUCUUUAGGAUAAUAUCAGAUAAUAAUAUAUACUCUAUAGUUUCUUUGUUGAGAAGACUAUAUGAGGAACCUCAUAUGUGGGGAUAUAAUUACUACAUAUUAAAUUAUGCUUUCCUGUUUUCUAAGUUUUAUUUUUAUUUCUAUCUUAAGUUUUGGGGUACCUGUGCAGGAUGUGCAGGUUUGUUACAUAGGUAAAUGUGUGCCAUGGUGGUUUGCUGCACCUAUCAACCUAUCACCUAGG
Molecule: long non-coding RNA, 1164 nt
Filed under: Homo sapiens (human)
Lineage: Eukaryota; Metazoa; Chordata; Mammalia; Primates; Hominidae
Description: HSALNT0167888
Source: RNAcentral